GACGAACGCUGGCGGCGUGCUUAACACAUGCCAGUCGAACGGAAAGGCCCUGCUUUUGUGGGGUGCUCGAGUGGCGAACGGGCGAGUAACACGUGAGUAACCUGCCCUUGACUUUGGGAUAACUUCAGGAAACUGGGGCUAAUACCGGAUAGGAGCUCCUGCCGCAUGGUGGGGGUUGGAAAGUUUCGGCGGUUGGGGAUGGACUCGCGGCUUAUCAGCUUGUUGGUGGGGUAGUGGCUUACCAAGGCUUUGACGGGUAGCCGGCCUGAGAGGGUGACCGGCCACAUUGGGACUGAGAUACGGCCCAGACUCCUACGGGAGGCAGCAGUGGGGAAUAUUGCACAAUGGGCGGAAGCCUGAUGCAGCAACGCCGCGUGCGGGAUGACGGCCUUCGGGUUGUAAACCGCUUUCGCCUGUGACGAAGCGUGAGUGACGGUAAUGGGUAAAGAAGCACCGGCUAACUACGUG
This 468-nucleotide ribosomal RNA is filed under the name uncultured bacterium. Its description in RNAcentral is "partial 16S ribosomal RNA". It matches the Rfam family "Bacterial small subunit ribosomal RNA", at positions 28 to 507 of the family's 1533-position model. The record is from RNAcentral.